This 74-nucleotide transfer RNA is filed under the name Rhodobacterales bacterium. Its description in RNAcentral is "tRNA-Gly". It matches the Rfam family "tRNA". Rfam says of the family: Transfer RNA (tRNA) molecules are approximately 80 nucleotides in length. Their secondary structure includes four short double-helical elements and three loops (D, anti-codon, and T loops). The record is from RNAcentral. Lineage: Bacteria; Pseudomonadati; Pseudomonadota; Alphaproteobacteria; Rhodobacterales.
GCCCCGUUCGUCUAAUGGCAGGACGCCAGUCUUCCAAACUGGAAAUGAGGGUCCAACUCCCUCACGGGGCACCA